Molecule: ribosomal RNA, 383 nt
Filed under: uncultured eukaryote
Lineage: Eukaryota
Description: partial 18S ribosomal RNA
Rfam family: Eukaryotic small subunit ribosomal RNA
Source: RNAcentral
CAAUAGCGUAUAUUAAAGUUGUUGCAGUUUAAAAGCUCGUAGUUGGAUUUCUGGUGGGAGCGAUCGGUCUGGCGCUUAGCGCGAGUACUUGCAUCGUCUCCGGCCAUCCUUGGGGAGAGUCUGUCUGGCAUUAGGUUGUCGGGCAGAGGAUCCUCAUCGUUUACUGUGAAAAAAUUAGAGUGUUCAAAGCAGGCUUAUACCGUUGAAUAUAUUAGCAUGGGAUAAUAAGAUAGGACUUUGGUACUAUUUUGUUGGUUUGCGCACCAAAGUAAUGAUUAAUAGGGACAGUUGGGGGUAUUCGUAUUCCGUUGUCAGAGGUGAAAUUCUUGGAUUUACGGAAGACGAACUACUGCGAAAGCAUUUACCAAGGAUGUUUUCAUUAA